Small nucleolar RNA from Cercocebus atys (sooty mangabey), 131 nucleotides. NCBI's taxonomy places the organism in Eukaryota, Metazoa, Chordata, Mammalia, Primates, Cercopithecidae. The record is from Ensembl.
UGGCAAACCUCCAGCGUGCUUGGAUCUGUGGUGACCUGUGCAUUCCUACACUGCUCGCCAGAACAGUAUUGAAAUAGUUGAGGGUUUGUCCUGCUCCAUCCAGAGUAAGGUUAUAGAAAUUUCAGACAAUU